Gallus gallus (chicken) is the source of this 6450-nucleotide long non-coding RNA. The record is from Ensembl. Lineage: Eukaryota; Metazoa; Chordata; Aves; Galliformes; Phasianidae.
CACGGGGAGGCGCUCCUCGGAGCCGGCGCGGCCGGACGGAGGCGCCGGGACGGGUUAAGUGACCGCGCGUACCGGCGAGUUUCCUUGGGAACGUUCCUUCCCAACGCCGUGGGGAGAACGGGGCAGCUCGACGCCACAUCAGCGGUACGCCGGGUCCAUUCGGCGCGCUUCUGCUUUGGAUGAGAUACAGCUGUAUGUUCACACUCUCAGCUUUGCGAACGUUGAGAAACAGAAGAAGAACGACGCUUCCAAGGGCUUCAGUCGUCAGCUUUUGCCCAGAGGAAACUGGCACGGCCCCGCAGCCCUCCUGCGAAGCACGCCCAGGCCCACGCAGCGCUGUGGUUGCCGGAGUUGCCCCGUGGCGCAGCGGCAGCGCGGCCGGCAGAGGCUGCUCCACUCUCCUGAGCUCCGCGGGGCUCUGACGGCUGCGCGGCUGCGGCCGCAGAAACGCUGAGGUCACCCGGCAGCACCACGGCGUUUCGUUUGCUCUCCCGGCAGCACAUUCUGCUUGUAAACUGACGCCAGUUUUCUGUUAGUUCGCUCUUGAGAAAUUUAAAUGGCAGAGCGAGGUGACGUAGUACCCGACUGUGUGUAAUUGUUGCUUGUUGCAGUGCAGCGUGACUCGCGUUUGGAGGUUUUCUGCUGCCAUCUCCUACCUGCUUGUCAGCAAGGAAGAUUACACGAGGCCUGAAACUCCAGCGCCGGCUCUGUGUUUAAGUUCCCCCCAUCCUCCUGCAGCGUGGCUGCUGGCCGGCAGCUUGUGUGUUGUCCUCACCCCUUCUUCAUAUAUAUAUAUAUAUAGGUGUUGUAUAGGGUAUAUAUAGGUCACAGAUAGGUGUUGUCCUCACCCUUUCUUCAGUGGUAGAACGCACUGCAUUGCUGCACCACCCUUACGGUGAGCAUCCAUCCCAAAAUACUGAAGUCAAAUACCCGUGUGUCUUUCUCUGUAAAUACAAGACAGUGGGGAAUAGGUUGUCUUCACCGUUACAGUAAAAAGGCAGGCCUACCUUCAGUAUUACACGCAGCAUUUUACUACACCUUGAUAACACUGGGAAGGCAAAAUCUGCACAAAGCAAUGAAAGAGCACAUCUUGCAUCAAUACCUGUUUAGAAUCACAGAUUCAUUCCAAUGUAAGGAAGAAACAGCAGAAUAAAUAGGUUUAUAGUAAAACAUUAAGCAGUGCCCAGUUCUGGCCUCCUCGGUUCAAGAAAGGGAACUGCUGGAGAGUCCAGCGGGGGGCUGCAAAGGUGGCUGUGGGCCUGGGGCAGCUCCUGUGUGAGGAAAGGCUGAGAGAGCCGGGGCUGUUCAGCCCGGAGAGGAGAAGGCCGGGGGUGAUCUCAUCACUGCUUAUAGACAUCUAAAGGCUGGAAGCUGAGUGGAUGGGGCCAGGCUCUUUUCAGUGGUGCCCAACAACAGCGCAGAGGACACAAAGCGGAAUGUAGGCAGUUCCAUACAAGCACGAGGAAAAACUUCACUGUGAGGAGGACAGGGCGCUGGGAGCUGCCCGGAGGUUGAGGGCGCGCCUCAUGUGGAGGCGUCCAAAGCCCGCCCAGCCGCUUUCCCGCGUAACCUGCUGUAGGGAGCCUGCUGCAGCAGGGGUUGGGCUCCGGGAUCUGCAGAAGUCCCUCCCAACCGCUGCGAUUCUGUGAGAAAUGUUGCCCUAAACCCGGACUGUAACAGCGGUACCACAGUGGCUGUUGGCAGCCCUCACCCCGCAGCGGCUGCUCUGAGAUUUAUGAGCUUGAGAGCCUCUGUGGGAAUCACUCAUCUGCGUGGCUGCAGCGAGAUACAGAACCCACAGUGCUCUGACUGUAGGAGCUGGCUUUUUCCAGGAGACUUUAAAUGGACUGUGGAAACUACACCGACGGGCUUCUCUCUGUUGUUCUGUAUGCACUGAGGGACAUCUGUGACCAUUUUCAAGACCAUAAAGAACAAAAGAGGCAGAACCAUAACAGUAAAAAUGCCAGACAUGUAUCAGUUCAGUGUCCAACGCGCAUUAAGGAUAAGCUUGGCAGAGUACUGCUUACUACAAACGUACUGCCAUUUUAAUGAAGAUUAUUAUGAAGUAUCAAAAGCGAAUGUCAUGGAUUGGUAACCAAAACGUUUGUUUAAAUGCACCUUCUUGUUGCACCUGAAUGCUGCACAUGCACCGAUCAAAUGCUUUUGGCUUUAUGCUGUUAGCUGCUGACCAGGGCGGUACGACAGAGCCUUGCUGAGGUCUCCAAAUAAAAGUACUGCUGUUGGAAAUGUUAAUUCAGCUCCUGACAGCCCCACCAGCUUGGUUUCCAUGCACCCAUUCCCUUGGGCUGGCGUCCGUUCAGCUUCUAGCAUGGAAAUAAGUGUGCCAAGAGUAGAUUGAAAACAUUUGAUAGCGCUUAGGCAUCUUUAUACUGUUCUUGUCUACAAAAUCAGCAAAAUGCAAUUAUUGCUCCUAUUUUUUUUUCUUACCAUUCAUUAAAAGCGAAUCUGUUCACCUUGGGAAACAGAGGGGAAAAUUAGCCUUCCUGUGUGUACAAAACGUGCUUACAUCGUAUCGCAGUGUUGUUUAUCUUAGAAGACCAGAAAAGCAUUGUUUGCUGUAGCCACAGUUUUCAGGACAACCGGUGGCACAUCCACACACUUUGCAGUCACCACCCGAACAAUUGGACUCCAUGGGACAGCCGGGACUGGCGUGGCCCUGGAGUGGCAGCUGCUGACAGCACGAGCCCUGUGCAGCAGUGGAAGAGCUCCCACCCCUUGCUGUGCUCUCACGUCCUUCACGGCAGGCCGGAAGGAGUGGAAGUUUCCCCACGGCCUUUCCUCCCAGAGGCAGCUGAGGAACUUGUCUCUUUUCUGGCUGCUCAGGGUCAGACAUUUGGAGCAGGGCGGACAGCCGGGGCCAGGAAUGCCUUUUAUUACAGCGUUCAUCUGCCAACACUUCAGAAUCCAUCAAACCCACAGAAGGGAGCUUAACGCUGCAGAGAGGACCUACAAUAAUCACACCGUUUAAUGCUUUUCCAAACACCGACUGCCAUCGGCUCUCAGGGCUGUGUGACAGCUUGCUCUUUCUCACUUGCACCUAACGUGUGAGAUGCCUGAGCUCCUGUAGUUCUUUUCUGAAGCAUGGAGCAGUGGAGCAAACCUGAGAAGUACUGACCUACACAGUUUCAAAUAAUACCUUCCUGCAACUGGAAAGACAAUUUGCUUCACUGAUGUCUUCACAGGACCCAAAAUAAUGCAGGCUAUUUAAGGGUCCCUAGGGAUUUUCAUUUUAAAAAAGUGUAAUUAAUGAUUGAAACAUUGGUAUGCAAAAGGAUGCAAGCGAAGCAAAACUCUACAUCCCCUUGUUUGGGAAAGGAAGAGAAGAGAAAGUGGAAGGGAAACAGAAGUCCUACUCUUGUUUUUUCAGCAAAUAUUCACUUAGAAAUGAAUCUUCUCCAAACACAGCUGCCUGUCUGUGACUCUGAAUGUGACAGAGGUCUCCGUAUCUGCUCUCCAGGACAGGGAGCUGCCGUGGCCACGUUUCCAGGAACAAAUAAGCUGAACUCUAUCUGCCUGGACUUAAAAUAGCCACAUAGCUCAUCGUUCCUUCAAUACCAGCUUGUCUGUUCUGCAGGAGCCUCACAGCAGGAGAGCUGUGGGCUUCACAACUGGUUUUGGCUCUAGUUUGCUUUUGACUAACUUGUUUUAAAUCAUUGCUGUUAUAGCAACAGUGAAUAGUAUUGUAAAUCCACUUUUACCAACACCCUCAUAUCAGCUUGCCUUCAGUCAAAUCUUUGCUUUACUGAAGUGAAAAUAGCAAGACUUUCUCAAAGAUGAAGAAAAUUGAUCAAUGAAGCUAGAUUAGGGCUGUAACUGAAGGAAGAAGGAAUCUCUUAUGGGCUUUCAAAGGCCAUUGUAACUGCAAUAAAGCUUGCAUGGAAAUAAAUAGGAGGCGUUACAUUUGGAGCAACCUCCGCACUUCAUAUCAAAUUCAAAAUGAGAGUCUCUGCAGCAGCUGCAUUCAGUGGGAGCCUCACGUCGCCUCCAGCACACGCCUGCACCACGUCAUGAGCAGAAAGCACUACUCAGUACGCCCACACUGGGCUGUACGAAGCAGCUCAACAAGGAGGAAAGGGCAACUGCAGCCCAGGCCAGGCAGCACUGAGGGGUAAAAUCCCAGCACGGCACAACCUGAAGGCAGCUCAUCUUUCACUGCUCACCUCAGCUUCCCACUCACACAAACAGCAAUAGCUACGUUUGUAAAGCUAUACAAUAAAGAGCUUUGUCUCCACGGGUCGUCCUUGGAGUCUCUCUGUCUUAUUGAUGUAACCGGAUUGUCGUGCCUGAAGUUUCUAGAUGGUGCAAGUAGAAAAGUCCUCACACGAGUGCUGGCCAGGGGGAAGAUCCUGCGCUUACAUCUCAUUAGAAUAUAUUUACAUGAAAUAAGGACACCCAAAACAUUUAAAUGUACGUCUUGGGCGGCAUGGAGGAGCUUUGGGAUCCAGUCACAAUGGAAUGAAUGAUAUUAAAGCAAGCCUAACACACAACGACCACAUCUGGAUCCCAAACACGGGCAAUAACCCGACUCCUCCCCACCUGCUGACGUCACGCUGCAGUGGCACAGUGUGCUGAGACGUGUGCAGUCCUGCCCUGCUUGGAGGCAGGAAUGCUGCACACACCAUGGGCAGCCCCAGCCUGCAGCGAGCGCUGGGGCAGCAGUCAGCAGGGCUGCGGGGCGCCCGGCAGCUCCGGUGUCUGCAGGGCAGGGGCCAGAAAGCAGCCAGACCUUCCUUCAUGCAGAAAAAGGAGCUUCGUCACAGGAAGAAGAGAUGCUGGGAAGGCCUUACUUGAUACACGAGCAUCAUGGAGCUAAAAAUUGGCCCCAGCUCACCCUCUGAAUAUUCUAACCGAGGUUCACGGCGAGUUGCCGUGAAGCCAUGCAGAGAGCCCUGAGUUAGAGCACAAAGCACGAUGGUUUGCAACAACACUUUGCACAGCCUGGGUGCUCUGACAGGCCCAGGAGGAGAACCGCUUCUCAGCAGCAUUCCCUGCAGGAGGCAAAGCCUGCUGCAAGCCCACCUGCUGGGCAGAGCUGGAAAAGAACCCCAUGCUGGGUGCGACCAAGAGAAGGCCGGCAUUGCUUGAGCUCCAACAAAGGCCUGAUUCCUUCAUUUCUUUUAUUAGAAAAGUAAAAAAAAAACCACCUAUUUUGAGGGUGCUCCAAACCAAGUGGGGCUCAGCUCCCCUAAACUGAAAAACUGAAUGGGAGAAAUAAAUGGGUGAGGGGGUUAAACUCAGGGCCAGCUUGCAUACCAUGCAGUCUCUACGAUGUAGACUUCAUUUACCCACAGGUUAGGUUCCUACAUUUUGCCUACAGUUCUGAGGGUGGAUUAAAACAAACGAAAGAUCUGCCACUUCACUGUUCUUCCCAGCCUCUCUAAACUUGCAUUUAUUUGCUCUCUAAGGACACAGAAGGGGAAAGAGCCGCCAGCAGCACUGCUGAGAACUGCGAGCUGUUGCAGCAGUCUCAGUGCAGUAACAGUUGAUUUACGUGAUCAAAAUAAUUACUUGUACCGCUUAUCAGUGCAGUGCACGUUUGCAGACGUUCAGAUAAAUAUACAUUCACUGCACAGUAACGACCUCAAAUUGCCGUUGUUCAGGUGUCACUUAAGGGUCUGAAAAUCUAAACUGUGCCAACCACUGCUUCUCAGCUCAUCCCGUCUUCCUACCUCCCCAGGACAUCCCAAAGCACCCUCCUUUCUGGCUGCCACCACCAGUUUCUCUCCCACCUGGGCAGCGAUCUCUGCAGGACCUGUUCAGGCACAGAUGUGCCCAUCCCCACACGUGGAUUUUGUAAAAACUCAAACCCCAGCAAUUUGUUUAACAGCAGAGACUUCCCUGUGCUGCACCCCCGCCGCCCAACCACACCUCUCCUGCCCUCUGAGGAGCUCUGAGCUGGGAACCUGCUCAGCAAGUUCAUUUGGGCCUUCCAACACCCACAGGCACCGGCAGCUCCUUCCCUGUGCCCUCUGCAGCUCAGCCACCACCACGUCUGUCCUGAGCCACCACCAGCUCCCUGCUCUUCGUGCUGCUCCCACCUCUCGCUCUGCACCAGGCAGAGAUGGGGAUGUGUUACCUCCAUCUUUUGGACGAGGUUCUCCCACCAGGCAGCCGCACUCCUGCAGGGCUCACAGAUCGCCCUCUGCCCAGCCCAGGACAGGGCUAUGAGUCACCACCUGAUUAACUGGUUAUACAAUCACAGCACAAGUGCUUCCCCAGAACCAGCCCAGCGGUGCAGGCUGUUCACACCAAUGGGAAACGUAACUCCACGUUCCUUAGCAAAGGUCACAGUGAUGGCUACUGCAGUUUCUGAAUUGUGUUGUGUGAAAUGCUGAACUAUUUUAUGUUAACUUUAUGUCUAAUUCCCAGCCUUCAUCUGGUGGGUUCGGUGCUAUUCAGAUAACACAGCAACAGAAUCGGCUCUACCAG